This 372-nucleotide unclassified non-coding RNA is filed under the name soil metagenome. RNAcentral's name for it is "partial contains 5.8S ribosomal RNA, internal transcribed spacer 2, and large subunit ribosomal RNA". The stretch from base 1 to 119 matches the Rfam family "5.8S ribosomal RNA", at positions 35 to 154 of the family's 154-position model. The record is from RNAcentral.
GAUGAAGAACGUAGCGAAACGCGAAAGGUAAUGCGAAUUGCAGAAUCAGUGAGUCAUCGAAUCUUUGAACGCACAUUGCGCCUCUCGGUAUUCCGGGAGGCACGCCUGUUCGAGCGCCAUUACGAACCCCAAGCAGUGCUUGAUGUUGGGCGACGUCCUUUGUGGAAACGAGGGACGCGCCUGGAACGCGUGGGCGCCGCCGCCAGACCACGAGCGUAGCAAGACGCAAGUCAUCGCUGUGUUGGAUCCUGGCGGACGGUCUGUCUGUGGUGAAGUCUGUCUUCUCGCGAAGAUGGAACACACGAUACCCAAGUUUGGCCUCGGAUCAGGUGGGGAUACCCGCUGAACUUAAGCAUAUCAAUAAGCGGAGGA